CCGACAAUAAUAUGAACUGAAAGCUGGCCAGCUUUUUGUGGCAAAGCAACUUUCCCGUUCGGGCAACCAAGAGGGAACUUUUACUUGCCCAUCAUGAUAUUCACUUGCCCCGGGCAAGUGUUAAGUUACACCUCUGAGCAUAGUAGUUGCCAUUUGGCAGCUGUUGGUCUGGUUGAAGUGCUCAGAUAAUUUGGGGAAACCCAUGGCAUGCUCUCUCAACAGUGAAGGUUCAAAAACACACAUGCCGGAAUGCUUAUAGAAUACCUCGCCAUUUUUCCACAUUCAUUGACACAUAAAUAUGUACAAGAAUCCCUUCAAAAUAGUUUAAGGGUAAAGUUUAGAGAUUAAAUCAUAUGAGUAUGUUAGUUUGGUUCAAAUUUGACUGGGGGGUUUUGAAGAAUGAGGCAAUCAUAUUAGAUCAAUUUUGAGUAAAUUGACAAUGUUUACAAGGAAUUAAUAGCGGUAAGAUGUGAAAGUUGUGGGUAUUCUAUAGUUGUAUCAAAAAAGUGGAAAACCAAGCUAAAAGCCCUUUAAUGUACUUCAAUGUUUUUUUAAUGUUUGUCCCACAUUAAAAUAUAUUGAGUCAAUGACAGUGCAACUGUUCAUAUUAAAACGUUCUAAUCACAUUUUACAUGCACAUUUGUAUUCAGUAGUAAUCUUUUCAUAAAGGUACAUCAAAGUCCCAAAUCAAAUUCUUCACUGACAGUAUGUUAUUGACUCCCAAACGACAAGUAUUAUAAAACACGCUUCCAAGCUGAAAAGAAAUAUUUACUGUUGCCAGUCAGUGUUUAGACCCUUCUCUUUGAAUCUUGAUCUUCGACAAGUAUUGCUGUUGAUUAUAUUCCAUAUUUUUUUUAAGAACAUCGCAGACUAUAUAUUUAUUUCCACUGUCAGUUGAAAAGUUUAUCAUCAUAGUUUCAGUCGCAAAAGCUUCUAUCGCCCCUUUGCACGG
This is a non-coding RNA of Paramuricea clavata, 952 nucleotides long. The record is from the annotation of a GenBank genome assembly. Lineage: Eukaryota; Metazoa; Cnidaria; Anthozoa; Malacalcyonacea; Plexauridae.